AAUGAACGUUGGCGGCGUGGAUUAGGCAUGCAAGUCGCGCGGGUGUAGCAAUACACCAGCGGCGCAAGGGACAGUAAUGUAUCGAUCAUCUGCCCUCAGGACGGGAAUAGCGGCGGGAAACUGCCGGUAAUGCCCGAUAAUGUCUCCGGACCAAAGGUGUGAGUCCGCCUGAGGAUGAGUCGAUAUCCUAUUAGCUAGUUGGUGUGGUAACGGCGCACCAAGGCGAUGAUGGGUAGCGGGUGUGAGAGCACGACCCGCGUCAUUGGGACUGAGACACUGCCCAGACACCUACGGGUGGCUGCAGUCGAGAAUCUUCGGCAAUGGACGCAAGUCUGACCGAGCGACGCCGCGUGCGGGAUGAAGGCCUUCGGGUUGUAAACCGCUGUCAGUGGGGAGGAAGGCCGUGUGAAGAGCAUGGUUUGACCUAUCCGCAGAGGAAGUGAGGGCUAAGCUCGUGCCAGCCGCCGCAGUAAAAC
Molecule: ribosomal RNA, 476 nt
Filed under: uncultured bacterium
Lineage: Bacteria
Description: bacterial SSU rRNA
Rfam family: Bacterial small subunit ribosomal RNA
Source: RNAcentral